This is a long non-coding RNA of Erinaceus europaeus (western European hedgehog), 808 nucleotides long. RefSeq lists it as uncharacterized. The record is from RefSeq and is a predicted model, not a curated record. Lineage: Eukaryota; Metazoa; Chordata; Mammalia; Eulipotyphla; Erinaceidae. The transcript is spliced from 3 exons.
AUGGAGACAUACCCAAAGCUUCCGCCCCUCUCCCCGACCUUAUCUGAGAUGUUUGAUUAUGUCAUCCAUUCAUCCAUGACUGAGCCACAGCUCUGCAGGCCAAAUUCUGACUUAACUUCUGGGGCAGCUGCAAAUGCAAAAUGUGGCUGCCCACAGCCACACUCCAACUAAGCUCCUAUUUUUCUAAUGGGUGUUAGCAUGUCCAUGGGUGUGUUGGUCUGCAUAAAUUAACUCUAGAAAUAAGAGUAAGUUUGAAUAAUUGACUCACCGAGGAGAGGUGAAGUCAUGGUUGCUCUGAAUGCACCCAAAAUGUAUUAGCUCUUUCCAAUUCUUUGGGUAGGGGCAUUUCACAGGUGCUCAGUCUGCUGCUGUGAAGGCUCUCCCUGCUCAGGGCAGUUUCCCCGGGCCAUCUCCCAGGCAGCCUGGCUCUGGAGAGGCUGAAGCACAAUUCUGGAGGCCAGAACCCCCAAGUCAGGAUGCUGGCAGAGCCAGUUCCUCCUGAAGGCUUGAGUUCCAGAUGCCAUCAGGAUGCUGGCCAGGCUUCCCUGGAUUGAAGGCCCCACCAAUGUGUCCUGGAGCUCAGCUUCCCCAGAGAUACACCCUACUAGGGAAAGAGAGAGGCAGACUGGGAGUAUGGACCAACCAGUCAACGCCCAUGUUCAGCAGGGAAGCAAUUACAGAAGCCAGACCUUCUACCUUCUGCAACCCACAAUGACCCUGGGUCCAUGCUCCCAGACGGAUGGAGAAUGAGAAAGCUAUCAAGGGAGGGGGUGGGAUAUGGAGAUUGGGUGGUGGGAAUUGUGUGGAG